GACGAACGCUGGCGGCGUGCUUAACACAUGCAAGUCGAACGGAAAGGCCCUGCUUGCAGGGUACUCGAGUGGCGAACGGGUGAGUAACACGUGGGUGAUCUGCCCUGCACUUCGGGAUAAGCCUGGGAAACUGGGUCUAAUACCGGAUAGGAGCCAUUUUUAGUGUGAUGGUUGGAAAGUUUUUUCGGUGUAGGAUGAGCUCGCGGCCUAUCAGCUUGUUGGUGGGGUAAUGGCGUACCAAGGCGGCGACGGGUAGCCGGCCUGAGAGGGUGGACGGCCACAUUGGGACUGAGAUACGGCCCAGACUCCUACGGGAGGCAGCAGUGGGGAAUAUUGCACAAUGGGCGCAAGCCUGAUGCAGCGACGCCGCGUGGGGGAUGACGGCCUUCGGGUUGUAAACUCCUUUCGCUAGGGACGAAGCUUUUUGUGACGGUACCUAGAUAAGAAGCACCGGCUAACUACGUG
This 465-nucleotide ribosomal RNA is filed under the name uncultured bacterium. RNAcentral's name for it is "partial 16S ribosomal RNA". It matches the Rfam family "Bacterial small subunit ribosomal RNA", at positions 28 to 507 of the family's 1533-position model. The record is from RNAcentral.